Molecule: long non-coding RNA, 4088 nt
Organism: Alligator mississippiensis (American alligator)
Lineage: Eukaryota; Metazoa; Chordata; Crocodylia; Alligatoridae
Exons: 11
Source: RefSeq, a predicted model, not a curated record
UUGCUUCCCAGUCCUUUAAUUCUGUAUGGAUUAAAUCGCAAUAUGAAUACAGCAUCGAACAAAUACCGAGUCUCUCUCUGAACUCAGUGGAACGCAGUUACGUCUAGCAGAAUUCAAUGAAUUCCUCUUCUCCCUCAAUGUAGUAUGUGUGUGUUUUUCUCUUCCACCACACUGAAGUUCCAUGAAUAGGGAAAGUGGCUCCUAUUGUGUGCCUCUGAACUUCCAAGUCAAUGCAAUUUUUAACCACUGGCUUGUGGUACUUUGAAAAUCACCAGGGGCUGUCAGAGUUGGGUCCUCUGAAAAAUUUACAGUGCUAAAUCAGAGCAUAUGCUGUGAGAGAGGGAAAAAAAAUGCUUAAGAUUGGAGCAAGUACAGUAUCUGGCUGCCCCCUAGUGUAAGACUCUUAUCUGCCUAAAAUUCAACUUUAAAAGAAAAGGAUCUCUUAAAGGGAAACGACUUUUGGCUCACGUAUGCAUGCGAGAAUGAAACUUCUGUACAUUUUAAUCUGAUUAAUACCUAAGGAUUUAAGAUUAAUUGACUUGGGCACUCCUAGACCGGACUCUAACAUUUCUGCGGCAGGGCUCCCUUCAAGAAGCCCUGUAUUCAAUAGAGCAGAGCAGUUGCUGCUUUAAAAAAAGUCACAUCUGCGCCUUUUGCAAUAAAAAAAGACCCAGGAUAAAUAUUUGCCUUAAAGCUGCAGACGAGCUGCCCACAACCACACCUUCGGAGGUCUGAAGACAGAAAUAUGUGCACUAUUCAGAGGUGCGUACAUUUUUGAUGCAGAAAGCAACAGUACGAUAUUGUGCCAUAAUGAAUCCUUCAUCCUGAUUGAAAAAGUGCAACAGGGAAACAUGUUUAAUAGACUGAAAAAUAAAGAAAUACCAGCUAAUGGAAGCCCAUGAAGUGCUGGUUCUUACUGCCCAAUUUCCCACCUGUAGCCAAGGGACAGAAACAAACCAACCAUCAAACAGGAACAUGAAAGACUAGAAGUUCUGCUUCGACGCCAAGAGUGACAGACACAUCAGAAAUAAACUAGAAUACGAGAGAGAGAAAGACAAAUAAGCGAGCGAGCAAGCAUGCAAGAGCAAGCACGCGCAUCCUUUUGCUGUAUUCUUCAGUAUUGUUUUAAUUUGUGCUUAUGGCAUCAGUUUACUAUCACAUCAGUGAUUGUGGUGAUAUCAUUUUUCACUCUGAAAUUAAGCAGAAUAAGCUGAAGAAACAAGCCCCAGAUGUUGAUAUGAGUAAAGCAAAAAACCCGAUUUCCAAAUAAUGCCCAGAAAAAGACAUGUCUUUUUUGGGUAGUGAUGUCAACAAAUAUGCACCAGGGCUCGGACCCACUCUAACUGAGCUCAGGGUUGAAAGUUUACUGCAUUCACAGAAGUCUGGCCAGCAUGAUGUGAAAACAUUUGCUGAGAAGCUUCCAAUCAUUCUGCCUUCCCCUGGCUCCCCAGAAUAAUCUCUGAAGACAUUGAAAAGGUUCAAUUAACUGGAGAAGAGUCCAGAUUAGAAGAGCACAUGUAACUCUUCCAUCAGGCUGCUAUUCUACUCUCCUCUUCUUCCAUUUUAUGGUAAAAUAAUGAAGAAAUGAAGAAGGAAGCUUUCUUGAGUUUACAGCAGAAAUAAAGCCAAAAAAACAUGGACAGGAAGGCUUCUCUAGACCAGAAACUGGAGCAAAGCACAGAAAUGCAUGCUUGUCAUUGAAGUGAAUGGAGAAGAAGGAAGAGGAGAAUGAUAAGAUCGUCGCCUGCAGCACUUUGUUUAUGAGAACAUCCUUCCAGUGAUGUCCCACCUAGAGAGUUGUGAUGGGCCCCUCUUUUUCUACUACUUCCAAAGAUUGUGGAGUUCUGCAUUAUCUUCGUUAUCUGUAUGAAGCCAUUGAAAAGGGACAUUUUGAAGCAUCACAGACUAAUAAAGACCAGCCCUGGGAAGAUGACACCUUGCUCUAUAUCACCUUGACAUCAGACACAGCACCAUCUCACAACUCUCUAGGUGGAGAUUGGCAAUUGUCUGGAGAGAAGCUGUUUAACCUGGAGCCAGAAAUGUAUCCCCUGCCUUUCAUCUGAUUUGCAAAUGACAAUCAUUAAAAUAAUAAAAUAAAAUAAAUUAAGGACAUGCCUUAUAAUAUGGUAAGUUCCUAGUUCUAAAAAAACCAAUAUAUAUAUAUAUUUUAAAAUCAGUUCUCCAGUUAUAACAACAGGCAUACCCAGAUUAUGGGGCAAGAAGAAAACGUCCUUUGUUCUGUUCACAUGAGCUUCUAGAAAACUGUUAUUCUGUAUACUUGCCUGAUACUACACUUAAGAAAUAUGGGUGGGAUUUAAAAAGCACACAGCAUUGACCAGCCCUACCUGAAGUCAAUGGGGGUUUUCCCCAGGUUGCAAUAAGAAGCAAAGUUGGCCAGUGCCAAGCUAAUUUGAAAAGUCUACUUGCAAAAGCUAAUAAAUAAUCCUAUGUAGAUCCAGCCCUCACCCAUCAAACAAAGACUGUCAACAGUGUGUCCCUGGAGCCUUCAUGAGUCGUACCAGUGUCUGUAACCAACAGCAUUGACAAAAGGAAGUGAUUGGCUUUCAUCACAUCUGGCUGCCUUUGGCUUCUGAGCCCAAGUGAUCAAGCACCCUACAUUGGGCCACGGUUUGAUGCAGAGUGGCCCAUAGCAUGCAUCUGAAGUGGGAGAAGACAUGCUUCUGGAGAUAUCUGAUAUGCUCUGAUAUCAAUAUCCCACCACGCGCCUUCCAAAACCCCUCACUCCAAGACCUCUUUUUUGCAAAAGCAAUUCCAUGGGACCCCUCUGCAGACAUACGCUCAAGAGAAAAGUGUAAAAAUAAUACCGAUUGUGCAUGUGUAUUUACAUAAAUAUACAACAAUAUCCACGAUUCAGUGAAUGAAGGCAUUUAAGAAACAAAAAAACCAAAACAGAAGCAUUAAAAAAGAAGAGACUGCUUCUCCGGGGAAAAAAAUACAACUUGGGUCUUUAAAGCAGACAAAAGAAAUGCAUGUUUGCAUUCGCAGUGAAGAAAUACUUAGAUAUUUGAACACCUAGACAGUAAAAGAACCAACGCUAACAAUUGUACCUGUAAAACCUGCCAAACAUACAGCGCAAGUCCCUGAUCCCUGUAUCUUCACUGUUUCUUUUAAAUACCGAUCUACCCCUUCUUUGAGUAGAGCCUCACAAAACGAACCUUGCAGUUGCCCCUGUUGUUUUCCCUUCAAAACUCAAUUCCAGCCGAUCACACGGGUAAUUCUAAGAAACAAUUUUAUUUUCCUCUUGAUUUUUAUUAAGCAUUUUGGGGGUUUGUUGUUAAAAUCUUCCCCCUCCCUUUUGCAUCGGUGGAGCCAAUAGCUUGUUUACUUCAAAACAAACAAACAAAACCUCCGUCCCCCCCCAUCCCCCUAGCUGCUCUCUUUAAUGACAUCUUCAGUCAUUAAUGAGUUAAUAAAAAUCUCAAAGUCAUCUGGGGAUAGAUAAGGAGAAAGAAAGAAGAGUAUUGUACACAUAAUGACAGGCUCCCUGCUGCCCCUAAGAUGUCAUGGGUCAGCCAUGUUAAGAAUGUGUGCACCCAAUCAUCUGCUGAUUUUUAUCAGCAAGGCCUCAAGCAGAAUCUGACACGGGCCAGUUUGGGAGUUACAAUGAAUAAACAAUGACUUCUUGGAUUGUUGGCGGCUGUAUGAUAGAGUGAGGGGGUUUAUAUAUACUAAAACAUGAUGACAUUAGCAAUCAAUAUACCAAUUACUGGACAAGUUAUUGGACGAAGAAUGCACAUGUCUCGAGCUUUGUACGCUUUGAACGUACAACCGGCAGUGGAAACCCACGGUAAUAAUGUGGCUUAACCCCUCGCAAGCCAGGCAAGCUAAACAUCGGGCAGAGCCUUGAAGUCUCCCAGACCGCGUGCGAAGGGAAAAACCUGAACGGAUCGAGAAUGUCAAAUCUUUCAGAUACAUGACCUGACAUCCAUUUCUCUUUCAUAUAGGCGUUAAAAUACAAUAUACUAUACAAUACAUAUACAAUACAUAUGUAUAACGUCUAAAUGUAAUGCAUAACGUCUUAAUGUAUAAUGUAUAUAUGUUUACAAUAUAUGUGACCACUUCUAUUA